ACGCUGGCGGCGUGCCUAAUAAUGCAAUUUGAGCGAAUGGAUGGGAGCUUGCUCCCCCAAGUUAGCGGCGGACGGGUGAGUAACACGUGGGCAACCUGCCUGUAAGACUGGGAUAACUUCGGGAAACCGGAGCUAAUACCGGAUACGUUCUUUCCUCGCAUGAGGAAAGAUGGAAAGACGGUUUCGGCUGUCACUUACAGAUGGGCCCGCGGCGCAUUAGCUAGUUGGUGAGGUAAUGGCUCACCAAGGCAACAAUGCGUAGCCGACCUGAGAGGGUGAUCGGCCACAUUGGACACUGAGACACGGCUCAUACUCCUACGGGAGGCAGCACUAGGGAAUCUUCCGCAAUGGACGAAAGUCUGACGGAUCAACGCCUCGUGAGCGAAGAAGGCCUUCGGGUCGAACAGCUCUGUUGUAGAGGAGAAACAAUGUGCAACAGCAGCUGCUGUGUCCUUCGAAGGGCCAAACCAGAAUGCCUAGGUUAAUCUAAGGCCAUCAGCCCCUGUAAUA
This 510-nucleotide ribosomal RNA is filed under the name Bacillus sp. Bac224W4. RNAcentral describes it as "bacterial SSU rRNA". It matches the Rfam family "Bacterial small subunit ribosomal RNA", at positions 33 to 525 of the family's 1533-position model. The record is from RNAcentral. Lineage: Bacteria; Bacillati; Bacillota; Bacilli; Caryophanales; Bacillaceae.